GAUGAACGCUGACAGAAUGCUUAACACAUGCAAGUCUACUUGAACUUCGGUUUGGGUGGCGGACGGGUGAGUAACGCGUAAAGAACUUGCCUCACAGUUAGGGACAACAUUUGGAAACGAAUGCUAAUACCUGAUAUUAUGAUUUUAGGGCAUCCUAAAAUUAUGAAAGCUAUAUGCGCUGUGAGAGAGCUUUGCGUCCCAUUAGCUAGUUGGAGAGGUAACGGCUCACCAAGGCGAUGAUGGGUAGCCGGCCUGAGAGGGUGAACGGCCACAAGGGGACUGAGACACGGCCCUUACCCCUACGGGAGGCAGCAGUGGGGAAUAUUGGACAAUGGACCAAAAGUCUGAUCCAGCAAUUCUGUGUGCACGAUGACGUUUUUCGGAAUGUAAAGUGCUUUCAGUUGGGAAGAAAAAAAUGACGGUACCAACAGAAGAAGUGACGGCUAAAUACGUG
Molecule: ribosomal RNA, 454 nt
Filed under: uncultured bacterium
Lineage: Bacteria
Description: partial 16S ribosomal RNA
Rfam family: Bacterial small subunit ribosomal RNA
Source: RNAcentral